Molecule: long non-coding RNA, 9275 nt
Filed under: Equus caballus (horse)
Lineage: Eukaryota; Metazoa; Chordata; Mammalia; Perissodactyla; Equidae
Description: lncRNA (ENSECAG00000050489.1)
Source: RNAcentral
AAGACAUCCAGACUAUAGCAACACUCCUCCCUAAAAGGUGGGACCUCAUUCUCCUUCUCUUGAAUGUGGACCGAACUUAGUGAAUCACUUCUAACAAACAGAAUGUGGCAGAAGUGACAGCGUGUGACUUCUGAGGCUAGGUCAUAAAGGACACUGUCUUCCUCUCUUGCUCUGUGAGAAGCCAGCUGCUAUGUAGGGAGAACAUUCCAACAGCCUGUGGGGAGGCCCCUGUGGGAAAGAGCUGAGGCAUCUCACAACAACUGGCACUGACUUGCCAGCCACGGGAGUGCAUCCUGCAGACUCAGUCAAGCCCCAUGACUGGAGCCCCAGCUGACAUCUUGACUGCAGCCUCACGAGUGAAUCUGAGCCGGAACUGCCCACCAAGCUGCUCCUGAAUCCCUGACCCUCAGAAACCGUGAGGAUAGUAAAUGGGUACUGUUGUUCUAAGCCACUAAGUGUUGGGGUAAUUUGUUACACAGUAAAACAUAACUAAUAGGGCUUGUUAUUUAGCAAAGUUUUGGCAACGAAGGAGCAAAAACAACAUAGUCUCUACUGGAAAGAAGCCCACUGUCUACUGUGGAGAUUCAGCUGGGUAAAACCAACAAGAACACCACCAUGUGAUAAAUGCUACAACAGAGAGGUGUCAGUCAGGAAGAGCAUGGUUAUGCUGUGGGAACAAGCAACCUAAACACUUCAGUGGCUUCAAAUACCACAGCUUCCUUCUUGUUCAUGUCACGUGUCGACUGUGAUAGGCAGGAGCUCUGCUUCUUGUCAUCCUCACUCCAGGAUCUAGGGUCAGGGCAGCCAUGAUCUGGCUUACUUCUGGUUGCCAUAGCAGAAAGAAGGAGAAAAUGGCAGAUGGUGACUGCCUCUGAAAGCUUGCGCCUGGAAGUUACGCAUGUCAAUUCUGCUCACGUUUCAUUGGCCAAAGCAAGUCAUUUGACUGUGCUGAAGUGUGAGGAGAGGCAGAGAAAUAUAAUCGUACCACGUUCUCAGCGAAGGAGAAAUAAGAGAUUAAGGAGCGUCCCCAGUGACUACCAAAGGCAUGCAGGGCGCGACGGGAAAAAAAACAACUCUCUUAGAGUGGAGAGGGUCAGAGAUGGGUUUGUAGGGGAACAGAUGCUAAGAAGGAAGAAUUUAUUAACCAGUCAAGGAUAGAACAGCAUUCUAGAUAGAGGAAACACACACAAAUGUUCUUGUGCACGAAUUAUCACAUGUUGGAGAAGAGCAGGGAGCAGAAGCAGAGGGUAAGUGAGUUAGGCUGAAAACCUACCAGGGCCUAAGUUUGAAGGGAACCACGUGCAAGGCUAAAGUGUGUCCUUUGAGGACCAACAGUGUUUUGUAAGGAGGACAUUUGGGGUGGGACAAUCCUUUAUGUGAGGCCCUGUUGCGUGCAUUGCAGGAUAUUUACCGUCCUGGGCAGCAGACCACUCAAUGACUGUAAUACUCACAGUAAUUAUGAGAAUAAACGUUAUCCCAACUCCCGUACCCGCUCCAAACACCCCCAGGGCUGGAAGACUGCUCCCUCUUGAGAACCAUUUGUAAGGAGGGUAAUCUGCUCUUCUUCUACAACUCAUGAAGUAUAAUCAGAUUUUGACAAAACUCAAGAAAUACCAAGAUGAAAUAACUCAUUGCAAUAAACAAUUGCCACCAAAUUUAAUCUGUACAGCAGUCGCAGUUGGUGCCCAUGGUAUAGAGACAUUAUACCACGGAGUACAUUCAAUUUCUAUCACACUCCUCUAACUCUGCCCCUCCUGGAAGGAUUGCUUUCUCUCCUUUCAACAAGAAUGCAAGUCAUUGAGAGUAAAGAAUUGGAGAUAAAUGAGAUAAAUUUAGUUUUUUUUAAAAAAGGAGACAUCACUAAGCUUGGUACUUGAAGAACAUUUUCCAAAGCUGCUUAAAAUGAUUGUGACAUACCCCUGCUAACUGCUAAUACAGAACUUAAGUAGAGGGUGUGACUUUAUCUAAUUUAAUUUUUUUUUAGCUGAGGAUGAUUUGCCCUGACCUAACAUCUGCUGCCAAUCUUCCUCUUUUUUUUGUAUGUGAGCCACCACCACAGCAUGGUCACUGACAGAUGAGCGGUGUAGGUCCGUACCCGGGAACUGAACCCAGGCCGCUGAAGCAGAGCACACCGAACUAAUCACUAGGCCACCAAGACUGACCCCUGAUUUACGUUUUUAAAAGAUCAUUCUGGUAGCUUGUGUAAAGCAAGAUCAAUUCAGACUUUUGCAGAAGCUGAAGCAACUGAUACUGAGGACUAGGAAACAGAGUAAAGGGGAUGGAUUCAAGAUACCUUUAGGAAGGAAGAAUCAACAAGAUUUGGUGUCCAUUGAUAGAAGGGAUGAGAAAAAGGGAGGAGAGGAUACUGAGCAGAAGCCAUCAGCUAUAAGUAAACAGACAGUAAGAAGAGAGAACACAAUCUCAUCAUGAGGUCAAAGGAGGAAAUUUACAACAACUGACAGGCUGAAUAAGCUAGACCAGCAGCCCCAACAUCCUGCUCUGCAAAACCCUAGUCCUGCAAAAGGCCUACGUCCAAAGGGUUCUGUGGUCAAUUAAGUUUGAGAAAUAUUUCAUACUCUCCCCACCCGGAGAUUUACUAGAUCUGCUAGUAUAUUAAUGUUCUAAACUGGUUUAUAGUAAAGAAACCAGCUUAAGCUUUAUGUGACCCAUAGCAUACCAUAAGUAUUUGCUUUCAGAAACCUUUUUACUCAAAAGCCCAUUAAGAUCCUGCAGAAUCAGUGUUCCGGGGAACACACUUUGGGAAACAGAUUUAAAACCCACGUAGGAGAACUCCUGCAACUCAACAACAAAAAGACAAACAACUCAACUAAAAAAUGGGCAAAGAACUGAAAAUAGACAUUUUUCCAAAGAAGAUAUACAAAUGGCCAAUGAGCAUGUGCAAAGAGGCUCAACAUCACUAGUCAUUAGGGAAAUGCAAAUGAAAACCACAUGAGAUACCAUUUCACAUAUUACUAAAAAAAUAACACAGAAAAUAAGCGUUAGAGAGGAUGUGGAGAAAUUGGAACCCUUGCGCUGGUGGAAUGUAAACUGAUGCAGCCGCUGUGGGAGAUGGUAUGGUGGUUCCUCAAAGUUUUAAACAUAGAAUUACCAUGUGAUCCAGCAAUUCAACUUCUGGGUAAAUACACAAAAGGAUUGAAAGCAGAGACUCCCAACAGAUAUUGGUAUACCAAUAUUCCCAGGAGCAUUAGUCACAACAAAAGGCAGAAACCACCAAAUAACCAUUGACAGAUGAAUGGAUAAACAAAAUGUGGUAUAGCCAUACAAUAGAAUAUUAUUCAGCCAUGAAAAAGAAAGGAAAUUCUGACACAUGCCUCAAUGUGGAUGAACCUUGAGGACAUGAUGCUCAGUGAAAUCAGCCAGCCACAAAAGGACAAAUACUGUGUGCUUCCACUUACCUGAGGUUCCUAGAGUCAUCAAAGUCACAGAGACAGAAAGCAGAAUGCCUUCCCUGAGAAAAGCAGAGAAGCACCCACACCUACUGCCAAACAUCAAUAUGUUUGUCAUUAAUCAAAACUGCAGUUAAAAAAAAAAUCAAAGGGAAAAUAAGGAUCUGGACGUACUUGUUGCUGUGCGCCUUCUCCAAGAGGAGCUGUGCCUCAGCCUGGGAGGUUCCGCCCGCGCUGGCUCCAAGGCUUAGCUUCUGGGAGGAUAACUCCAGCCAAGCAUCGUUUCAAGUCAUCAAAGACAUGGUCUGCUGCUGUUUGCCUGCAAACAUUUGCAUGUUGAAAGCACUGAACGUUCUCAGUUUUUUCAAGUGUUGUUUUAACUACAGAAACACCUAACCCCAAACAGCCCAAGACUUUCAUGUGACAUACGGUGUGUAUCAGCUUUUCCACCCUGACCUGAGAAGUGUCUUUAUUCAUUUUCAAGUGGUCCCAGAUCCUCUAAUUUCUAAUUAGCAAGUCAUCUAAUUGAAAGCCAUGCAAACCCCUUCCCUUUGACAGAUGGGCCUGCCCACCGGCCUGGUUUACGGGAAAGCAAUGCAAAGCAGUUCUUUUCCUAAAGCAGGGGGAAUCUCUGUUCCUCCUUCGUUGGAGGUGCCCAGCGUGGCACUGCCUGUACUCGCACUGCGGAACGUAACUGGAGCCACACGUAACAAACUCAGAUUCUCUGCUAUGAUGGCACCCUUGCAUGGUUCCCUCUAGGACCGGAAUUGCUGAGCGCCCUGGUGCCCACUCGGCACGCAACACUUACGUGAAAUUCCACAGAGCUUUUGUUUCCACAGGAGUAGGCGUCCCCGUGAUCACAGAAACACCUAAAAUUCCAAAGUUUAACACUGCCAAAAAAUUUGCGGAAAAAAGUACUAUUUCAUAAAAUAAAAACACCGUUAGAACAUCUGCCACAAAGAUUAGAAAAACAUGAGAUUUAAUUAUUUCACUACCUGGCCAGGAUGCUCCCCUCCACCCCAACUACCAGCCACAGAUGGUCCACAUAAGUACAAUAAUGCGUGAUUCCUGCACGCCUGCGUGGCAUGCUUGGCUGAGAAAGAUGAGAAUCGAAGGGGAAAAAGCAGCUUCUAUGUUUUUUUAAACAUAUCUGCUCUAACUUACGUUCUCUUUUUUUUCUCUAUUUAAAAUUCAAGAAUAAAUUAAAAGCUAAAUCCACUAAGACUUUAAAUGGGCUUCAUGGAGAGGAAUAAAUGACAUUACAUUUAUCUGUUGAAAACAUUAAUGGAAAACUAAUUUGAGAAAGAAAAGACUAAUUAAUAAGAGCAGAAAUGACUACUUAACUUCCUUUGAUCUUAGAAAUUAUUAAAUAGUAAAAUAACCCCUCCGUUUUAUUAGGCACAAUCAAACACAGAAGGCACAGGAAGAGGAAGCAGAUAAAACACCGGCCUUAGGAGACCGGUGGACGCCCUCUGCCGUGGGAACUGCAGUCACCCUGGUUUCCGACUGGCACUCAGGGCCCCUCGUGCGGUUCCCCGGCUUUGGCGCAACCCACCUGCAGGUGUCAGUCUCCGUGGCAGGGAGGGAAGUCACGAGCUCUGAGACGCUCGCUGCCCCCACGGGCCAUCCGGCUCUGGAGAGCCUGCAGGUACCACACUGGCCUGAGAACUGUGAGCAAAUCCUUGAAGUCAUCCAAGUUCCUGCUUUCAAAUUCCUUACAAUUGAACUGGAAAGACUAAACAAACUCACAUGUAAACCAAAGAGGCGCUCUUGGAAAAUGGAAACAGGAAAGCCAGGAGAAAGGAAGGUCCAGGUUUUAGAACUCUAGGGCAGAUAGUAAGAGUCCAGAUCAAGCUUCGCCAGAGCUCCGAGGAGGAAGCAGUCAAUGUCUGGAUUACACACCUGAUGCCCCUGCUAACUCUGAAUCAGCUUAGCUCUGCUCAUGUAAAUGAGACCGAGCAAUAGAAUCUCAGCACCACAAUCUGCAAGCUCCCGUCCCCUAAGAGCAUACUAUUGGCACAUCAUAAAACUGCUUUGUAAACAGAAAGGCAUGCACACAAUUGCUAUCAAUUCUGUAACGGCACAAUUACGUGUGACCAUUAUUUUGUUCCCAGGACUUAGCAAAACGCCUGGUCCUUGGUGGGUGCCCAAUUAAGAAGGCUAAAUGAAUCGCCGUUAAGAUGGUAAAGCAAAUGCUCCGUAAUUGGACUUUAAAACCACAUAAAGGAACUAACAAGUUUAUACGUUUUAACUAGGUAUAUUUGUAGGGUUAUUUGAUUUCGUUGAUUUCUAAAAGAAAAGAGAAAUUUUACUGAAAUUGCUUUGGACAGAAAGCUGACUUAGAGAAGGCUCCAGUAUAUCAUAAGGCCCUUAGAGAAUCAGCCAUGUGGAGGUUCGAUAACUCAGAGCAGCAAGGAGAGGAACAGCAGGAAUCAGGCACUACGUUGUCAUCCUCAUUUUAUAGACAGGGAUGGAAGCUUAAAGAGCUUAAGGAGAUUGUCCAAGGACUCAUGGCAACUAAGAGCCAGCCCACUUCCAAGUCCAUCCUCUUAACUCUCACACUCAAUUACUUUAUCCAAAACCUUGUCACAAACACACCUUCACCUAUAACUUGAACCACAGCAUGUUCUCCAAGACUGGCCUUAAAAAGGUCCUAAGAAUUACAAUUCUCCUAUUCCUAAAAUAGGUAGGAUUCAGUUCAGCUGAGAUAUCAAAUCCAAAAUAACAGUGGCUUACCUCACACAAAUGAAGUCCAGAGGUGAGCAGUACAGGACUGGUAGGGCAGCUUCGGAAAAGUACUCGGGGUCCCCCUACCUUGCUGCUCUACCCUCCUCACUGCCCAAGAUGGCUGCUGAACUCCAGUCAUCACAUCCAUGCUCCAUCAGCAAAAUGUAGAAAGAUAAUAAUAUGAUGGUUCCUGGAAAUGGCACAUGGCUCCAUUUACAUCUAUCACAUGACCAUGCCUAGCUGCAAGGGAGACUGGGAAAUGUAGCCUUUUAAUUCUAGGUGGCCAACUGUCCAGCUAAAAACUAGACAUCCUAUUGCUAAGGGAUAAGGAGAGAAUGUUAUUAGAGAACUAUCUAGCAGUCUUGGUCACAUGCAUAUGAUUAACUUAGUGGAUGUGAGGACAAUGUGUCUACAAAGUCUGGAACCCUAUCCAUCAAGAGAAUUGAAAUAAAUAUAUAAGAUUGUCAUUUUGUCCUUGAUAGCUUGUUCUGCUAGUAAGAGCAGAAAGUUCUUUAUGAAUCAACUCAAUAAUUUUUUAAAGUUUCCUCUUCCUUUAUCUUUGGAGCAAUGCCCGUUAAAUUUCAUAAAAAGCAUUUGCCUGCCUGUAGCACGCACAUCCCUUCGAGUAUGUAUUGAGGGCUCACGAUGUACCAAGCACCCACCCGACGCUGGGCGCUCCUGGGAACCACAACGGACCCAGGCCCACCCCUCUGCAAGCUGAGGUCACACCAACACUACACAGAGAGGAAUGGUACAGGGGCCAUGUGAGCACAGGCCGUGGCCCGGAUUCCUUCCUCCGGAGCCAUCUGAGAGGGGACCCUGAGGCAAGGCAUUCACGCUGAGCCCUGGGUGACGAGGAGGCUUUGCUAGGCCUGGGGUCCCCAGCCAAGUUCAUCUGGAAAGUCUCCUCAAGCUCGGGUCUGCUGCAACAAAGCGCACAGGUUUUUCCCUCCACUGACAGUCUUCACAUGUACAAGAACUUGCAAGUCCCUUCCCUUCCAACAGGCCUCUGAAAUAACUGAUGCCACCUCCGCUUCCCAGGCUGAGGAGAUGAAGCAGGAGGCCUUCCAUCCUCGGACACAAGGGCAUAGCCAACGGAGCGCAUCUCGAAGGACAGACUGGGCCUGGCGUCCCCAUUACGCUUAAUACUCGGAGAACUGAAAGUAUCUGCAUAAAGCCACCGAGAAAGAGAACCACUGUCAGGACUGACAGCUUCACGGCCGGUGACUUGAUUCAUAGGCUGCUCAGUGACAUGAACGUAAAAGCCGGGACCCUCAAGCAACGUUUUAGCUUGGGCUCUUUUCCCCUUAAUUACAAAAUAAACUAAGCAAAGGAGGUCUCCACUCUCCCGAGGCUCCCCCCAGCUGUGUCAAUCAGAUACUGUCCCCACUGCACCAGAUCAAUAGGCCUUUCGGCUCGGGACGUAAUUGGCUGCCUUCCUCCAUCACAGGUGCAGGUGGGUGGGGACAGAGCUAGCCUCCCUCCCAGGGGUCUCAGGCUUCCUUCACCCACAAAAGAGGAAUUCAGCCUCGGGCAGGUCUUAGCUCUACUGAUGAACCUUCAGCCGGGAGGGAGGGCCCCCUAGUCAGAGGCAGACAUCUACCUGUUCAACAGAGCUACUCAAAGUACGGUCCCUGGACCGGCACGGUCAGCAUCACACGGAAGCCUGUCAGAGGUGCAGAGUCUCAGGCCCCACCCCAGACCCAACGAGUUAGAAGCUUCAUUUUAACAAGACCCCCAAGAGAUUCACAAGCACGAUGAAGUUUGAGGAAUACGGCAGAUCGACCAAACCGAACAAGUUUCAGCAGCAAUAAGUUCCGUAGUCAGCGAGGGCUGUUCAUCUGGUUUGGAAGGAGCCCUAGUUAAAAUGAUCAGAAAGCUAAGCUUCAAACUAGCCUCCAUUCACUGGCCUCUGACCGCAGAACAGGACCGUCAGUGCAUUGUGCAUGUUUUUACAAGCUCCGCAGGUGAUUCUGACACAGAUGGGCCUGAAACACACUGUAAUAAACACUGCACAGGUUAACGAUUACACUACGAAAUCAAAGGAACACGAUGUGUACGCUAAAGUCCUGCUCCCCAUCAGCUGGAGGGGGAGACCUGAGUUCUAUUGGGCUGAAGCUGGACAAGCCGCAAACCUUGUCUGCUCCUAAACACAUCACACACACGCACACCCCACUGUGUGUGGAACAAAUUGCAGGGAUCGCGGGAUUCCCAGGUGGUGGGGGGUGGUGUUUAUAAAGCGGCUCGUGUGGCAUAGACCUGUUCCUAAUGAGGAUGGGAGAGGGUGUCUGAACCACAGCUGGUGCAGUUAAUCGGUGGGAAAGUUUUGGGCUCUGUGGUUCCUGGUUUGGGGAGUUCUGUUCAGUCUAAGGCAGAUGACAACACUCCAUCUGUUGUAGCCCCAGCCUGAAGGUGGGUCAUCAAGUAUACAUUAGCUCUUCGUGGUCUAGGUAAGACAAGCUAUCACAGGUAUUGACAAAACCGCUUCAAGUUAGAGUUGGCAAGACCUUCGAAGGCCCCUGGUGCAAGGACUGCCUGUGCAGAAUCAGCUGGGGGCCUUGUUCAUCGUGCGCUUUCCUGGACCCUGUGCUAGGAUCACGCAGAACCUCCAAGAGCCAGACCCCGGGAUCGAUAUUUUUUAGAAGCCCCCGUGUGGUUCUGGGGGUCAUCAGGUAUGCAGACCACAAAAAUUUCAUCUGCUAGAUGAGAAAAACCAAGUGACAUGCCCCAGUCCCCAGCCCCCACUCCUGUCAAGGGCUCUACUGGGGGAGACGUGUUAGCUACCCAGAAAACCAGCUCCGCCCCGGGGCUGUCGUGGGAACAGGAGAAGCACCAGUGUGAGGGGACUUUGUGCCCAUCAUGAGCCAGAUCCCCUCCUUAGUGUUGUUCUUUAUAACCCCACUGUGUCUUUGGAGAUACUUAAAAUGCAGUCUGUUUUCAAUGCCAUGUUUCUGGCCUCGCCCCAGAGCACAGCUCCAAACCGGAAGUCAGCCCGAGUGAAAAGAGCUGGUGUUUGCACCCACUAGGCAUCUGUUUGGGAUUAUACACAAUGGUUAACGUGAGAGAAAGGACAAUAAAAUUCACAUGGGCAUUAGCACAUUCCCCUUCCUGCAUUCUGCUCUGGAAAAUGUAGAAAUGUAC